RNAcentral lists this ribosomal RNA (631 nucleotides) under uncultured fungus. RNAcentral describes it as "LSU rRNA". It matches the Rfam family "Eukaryotic large subunit ribosomal RNA", at positions 23 to 664 of the family's 3401-position model. Lineage: Eukaryota; Fungi. The record is from RNAcentral.
ACCCGCUGAACUUAAGCAUAUCAAUAAGCGGAGGAAAAGAAACCAACAGGGAUUGCCUCAGUAACGGCGAGUGAAGCGGCAACAGCUCAAAUUUGAAAUCUGGCCUCUUUGGGGUCCGAGUUGUAAUUUGUAGAGGAUGUUUCGGGUACCGCCCUCGGUCUAAAUUUCUUGGAACAGAAUGUCAAAGAGGGUGAGAAUCCCGUCUUGGACCGGCGGUAGGGCCCAUGUGAAACUCCUUCGACGAGUCGAGUUGUUUGGGAAUGCAGCUCAAAAUGGGUGGUAAAUUUCAUCUAAAGCUAAAUAUUGGCCAGAGACCGAUAGCGCACAAGUAGAGUGAUCGAAAGAUGAAAAGCACUUUGAAAAGAGAGUUAAACAGUAUGUGAAAUUGUUGAAAGGGAAGCGCUUGCAACCAGACUUGAGCGCGGCGGUUCCCCCUUCCUUUUGGUUGGGUUACUCCGUCGUGUCCAGGCCAACAUCGGUUCUGGGGGUCGGUUAAAGGCCUGAGGAAUGUAUCUACUCCUUCGGGGGUAGACUUAUAGCCUCGGGUGUCAUGCGACCUCCCGGGACCGAGGAACGCGCUUCGGCUCGGAUGUUGGCGUAAUGGUUGUCAGCGACCCGUCUUGAAACACGG